GGCGCCGUGGUCGGCGGCACGGGUGACGGCCGCCUUCACGGCGGGCGGGAUCUCGUUCGAGCCGACCGGGGUCA
Molecule: transfer RNA, 74 nt
Filed under: Lentzea pudingi
Lineage: Bacteria; Bacillati; Actinomycetota; Actinomycetes; Pseudonocardiales; Pseudonocardiaceae
Description: tRNA-Arg
Source: RNAcentral